GAUUCCUCCUCUAUGGAGUUUUUCCUGUAAACCUAGAUCUUUGGAUAUAGUACCCAAAGUAUUUACACAUCUUAAUACCAACUUUAAAGAGGGAAUAUUAAAACAGCCUGUGAGACAGUGGAAUAAUGCUGAAAUCAACUGAAAGAGAGUCUUAAAGAAAACACCUGGAAUUAGUAGCAAGUUUUAUAAUAUUAAAAACAAACAAACAAAAAAAAGCAACCGAACCACUUUGAAAAAUAGACCUCAUAUCCAAUCUACAUAGGGAAAUCCAACAGCAGCAACACAGACUUCAUUUUCUAAGAGAUGAGGAAUACAAUGGGUUCAGUCUGAUAUAUGAAAAAUGUUGGAGUCCUGAUAGCCUUAAUCCCUGCCACAGAAGUGUAUAAAAUUUCACAGCAAAGCUGCCAGAAAAGCCAAGACCACACCAGGAAAGCCGUCUGCUUACAAGAAGAUACCUGCCAGGUCUUGUCUGCCAAAGCCUGGACUAAUGAAUGAAUACACAAUAUCCCAAUCAAUCAAACUGGAUUUGUCUUUGCCCCAGGUCUAGGUGAGGUCUGGUAUGAGGUGACCAUAUCUGUCAAGCAUGCAGUAGUUGUGGCCAAGAAACUGUCUGUACAUUUAUGCAUUUAUCAAGGCAGAUAUGAAUAGAAGUCUUUAUUUUUUAACUAAAUGUAGUGUAUUCACACACUCACUGUAUGUAUCUAAAGGUAUAGUCAUACAUAAAGAGAGAAGGAGGUGUUUAUCCAAUGCCUGUUUUAGGUAUGCCUGUAUGCAGAUAUCUAUGCACAUGUGCAUACAGUCAGUCCUUUUCCUCCUCGACCUGCUUUUGUUCAAAAAGAUUUCAGUCCUGCAUUUAUUUUUAGUAUAAACAUCAGGACUGUGGCUACAUUGUACCCUGAAUAUGUCUGAACCACGGAUUUCUAACAUUAGUGGAAAUUAUUGUUUCUAGAGUUUUAAUCCUCCAUCACAGUCACUGCUGUCUUUCAAAUAAAUAGUCUGCAUUUUCACAGAUAUGUAUAUUUGCAUUGGGAAAUGUGAAGUUAUAGUGUGAUGAAGAAGUAACAAUUUAAGUAGUCUCCCCAGCCAUGUUAGUGUAAUGGAUAGUGUAAUGUGGUGAGUAGGGAUUCAGCCUAGGAAUGGCAAAACACUUGAUAGCUGCUGUCAUGCACAAAGGCUAUGUACAGCAGUAACAGAAUCUUAAAUGUUUCUUUGAACUUGAGUGUGCUGAGGCUGAUGACUUCUUCCUGUUUCCUGGGAACAUGCUUUUAGGUGCAGAACAGAGUAGGGUGAGUCAGAGUGUGGUCUGAUAAAAGAUUAAAUGGUCAUAGAAUAAUCACAGAUAAGUCAUCGCCUGAGGGAUGGGAAGAUACUCAAAUGAAAUGAUAGUAGUCAGAUAUGCUGGUGAGGUAAGGAGUUUGGACAACAGUGUACCAUCUCAUUCUGUCAUUGUACUCUAAUUCAAA
Molecule: non-coding RNA, 1463 nt
Organism: Meleagris gallopavo (turkey)
Lineage: Eukaryota; Metazoa; Chordata; Aves; Galliformes; Phasianidae
Source: RefSeq, a predicted model, not a curated record